Long non-coding RNA from Cervus elaphus (red deer), 86 nucleotides. RefSeq lists it as uncharacterized. The transcript is spliced from 3 exons. The record is from RefSeq and is a predicted model, not a curated record. Lineage: Eukaryota; Metazoa; Chordata; Mammalia; Artiodactyla; Cervidae.
AGUUGCAAUGAGCAAGGGCUGCUCUCCAUUUGCGGUGUGCGGGCUUCUCAUUACAGUGACUUCUCUUGUUGCAGAGCACGGGCUCU